AUUGAACGCUGGCGGAAUGCUUUACACAUGCAAGUCGAACGGCAGCACGGGGGCAACCCUGGUGGCGAGUGGCGAACGGGUGAGUAAUACAUCGGAACGUGCCCGGUCGUGGGGGAUAACGUAGCGAAAGUUACGCUAAUACCGCAUACGAUCUGAGGAUGAAAGCGGGGGACCUUCGGGCCUCGCGCGAUCGGAGCGGCCGAUGUCCGAUUAGGUAGUUGGUGGGGUAAAGGCCUACCAAGCCGACGAUCUGUAGCUGGUCUGAGAGGACGACCAGCCACACUGGGACUGAGACACGGCCCAGACUCCUACGGGAGGCAGCAGUGGGGAAUUUUGGACAAUGGGCGCAAGCCUGAUCCAGCCAUUCCGCGUGCAGGACGAAGGCCUUCGGGUUGUAAACUGCUUUUGUAUGGAACGAAAAGGCUCUGGCUAAUACCUGAGGCUCAUGACGGUACCGUAAGAAUAAGCACCGGCUAACUACGUG
RNAcentral lists this ribosomal RNA (484 nucleotides) under uncultured bacterium. RNAcentral describes it as "partial 16S ribosomal RNA". It matches the Rfam family "Bacterial small subunit ribosomal RNA", at positions 30 to 507 of the family's 1533-position model. The record is from RNAcentral.